Non-coding RNA from Paramuricea clavata, 441 nucleotides. The record is from the annotation of a GenBank genome assembly. Lineage: Eukaryota; Metazoa; Cnidaria; Anthozoa; Malacalcyonacea; Plexauridae.
AAGUAUUCACUUAAUUGGUUUUCAAGAAAAACUUUAAAAUCUCACUAUUUUAAAGUUAAAGUGUUUUCCUUUAGGCUAUAACAUCUAACAGCUCUCAUGAAAAUCAGGAAGUAUAUUAUGAUUGUUGGUACGAGUUAAAGGUACGUUCAUUUAGGAUAAGCUGUACGUCAUUUCCCUUCUAAUUGCAUGUCCACACGUUUAUAAUUGAAAAUGUAUCUUACGUUACUGAACGUUGGCGAUGGGUACAAGAACCAAUUCACCAAUAAUUUAUAUUACCCUUUGAUAUAAAUAAAGAAAUAUAAACCAAUCAUGGUCUUACAGUGAAAGACGUUCUUUUAUCCUAAUUAAUUGCAGACUGUUUGAAUUUUGUAGAUGACAGCAGUGGAUGAUUAUAAUUGGCCAAUAAAAGUUGCAGGAGAAAGAAUCCGGAUAUUCCACGUA